UACGGAGGGUGCAAGCGUUAUCCGGAUUCACUGGGUUUAAAGGGAGCGUAGGUGGGUUGGUAAGUCAGUGGUGAAAUCCCCGAGCUUAACUUGGGAACUGCCAUUGAUACUAUCAGUCUUGAAUACCGUGGAGGUUAGCGGAAUAUGUCAUGUAGCGGUGAAAUGCUCAGAUAUGACAUAGAACACCAAUUGCGAAGGCAGCUGGCUACACAAUUAUUGACACUGAGGCUCGAAAGCGUGGGGAUCAAACAGG
Molecule: ribosomal RNA, 253 nt
Filed under: uncultured bacterium
Lineage: Bacteria
Description: partial 16S ribosomal RNA
Rfam family: Bacterial small subunit ribosomal RNA
Source: RNAcentral